Molecule: ribosomal RNA, 254 nt
Filed under: uncultured bacterium
Lineage: Bacteria
Description: partial 16S ribosomal RNA
Rfam family: Bacterial small subunit ribosomal RNA
Source: RNAcentral
UACGUAGGGGGCAAGCGUUGUCCGGAUUUAUUGGGCGUAAAGAGCGUGUAGGCGGUUCGGUAGGUCCGUUGUGAAAACUCGAGCUCAACCUCGAGACGCCGAUGGAAACCCUCGAACUAGAGUCCGGAAGAGGAGAAUGGAAUUCCUGGUGUAGCGGUGAAAAUGCGCAGAUAUCAGGAAGAACACCCGUGGCUAAGGCGGUUCUCUAGUACGGUACUGACGCUGAGACGCGAAAGCGUGGGGGAGCGAACAGG